Molecule: ribosomal RNA, 247 nt
Filed under: uncultured bacterium
Lineage: Bacteria
Description: partial 16S ribosomal RNA
Rfam family: Bacterial small subunit ribosomal RNA
Source: RNAcentral
GCAAGUCGAACGAGAAAGCUUCUUCGGAAGCGAGUAUAGUGGCGCACGGGUGAGUAAUGCAUAGGAACGUACCAUUCAGUGGGGAAUAACCACGGGAAACUGUGGCUAAUACCGCAUAAUAUCGAGAGAUUAAAGGAGGCCUCUGCUUGCAUGCUUUCGCUGAAUGAUCGGCCUAUGUCCCAUUAGCUUGUUGGUAGGGUAAUGGCCUACCAAGGCGACGAUGGGUAGCGGGUUUGAGAGGAUGAUC